AUGUCUCUACCCUCUCUCUAUCUACCCUCUCUCUGUGUCUCUACCCUCUCUCUCUGUGUGUCUCUACCCUCUCUCCCUGUGUCUCUACCCUCUCUCUCUGUCUCGACCCUCUCUCUCUGUCUCGACCCUCUCUCUCUGUCUCUACCCUCUCUCUCUCUCUCUCUCUCUCUCUGUCUCUACCCUCUCUCUCUGUCUCUACCCUCUCUCUCUUUGUGUCUCUACCCUCUCUCCCUGUGUCUCUACCCUCUCUCUCUGUCUCGACCCUCUCUCUCUGUCUCUACCCUCUCUCUCUCUAUCUCUCUCUCUCUGUUUCUACCCUCUCUCUCUGUCUCUAACCUCUCUCUGUCUCUACCCUCUCUCUGUCUCUACCCUCUCUCUCUAACCUCUCUCUAUGUCUCUACCCUCUCUCUCUCUACCCUCUCUCUGUGUCUCUACCUUCUCUCUCUCUGUGUCUCUACCCUCUCUCCCUGUGUCUCUACCCUCUCUCUCUGUCUCGACCCUCUCUCUCUGUCUCUACCCUCUCUCUCUCUCUCUCUCUCUGUCUCUACCCUCUCUCUCUGUCUCUACCCUCUCUCUCUAACCUCUCUCUCUUUGUCUCUACCCUCUCUCUCUGUCUCUACCCUCUCUCUCUGUCUCUACCCUCUCUCUCUAACCUCUCUCUCUUUGUCUCUACCCUCUCUCUCUCUGUCUCUACCCUCUCUCUCUCUGUCUCUACCCUCUCUCUCUCUGUCUCGACCCUCUCUCUGUCUCUACCUUCUCUCUCUCUCUCUCUACCCUCUCUCUCUCUGUCUCUACCCUCUCUCUCUCUGUCUCUACCCUCUCUCUGUCUCUACCUUCUCUCUCUCUCUGUCUCUACUCUCUCUGUCUCUUCUCUCUCUGUCUCUACGCUCUCUCUCUGUGUCUCUACCCUCUCUCUCUCUGUGUCUCUACCCUCUCUCUCUCUGUGUCUCUACCCUCUCUCUCUGUCUCUACCCUCUCUCUGUCUCUACCCUCUCUCUGUCUCUACCCUCUCUCUCUAACCUAUCUCUAUGUCUCUACCCUCUCUCUAUCUACCCUCUCUGUGUCUCUACCCUCUCUCUCUUUGUGUCUCUACCCUCUCUCCCUGUGUCUCUACCCUCUCUCUCUGUCUCGACCCUCUCUCUCUGUCUCUACCCUCUCUCUCUCUCUCUCUCUCUCUCUCUCUGUCUCUACCCUCUCUCUCUGUCUCUACCCUCUCUCUCUGUCUCUACCCUCUCUCUGUCUCUACCCUCUCUCUGUCUCUACCCUCUCUCUCUAACCUCUCUCUAUGUCUCUACCCUCUCUCUGUGUCUCUACCCUCUCUCUCUCUGUGUCUCUACCCUCUCUCUCUCUGUGUCUCUACCCUCUCUCCCUGUGUCUCUACCCUCUCUCUCUGUCUCGACCCUCUCUCUCUGUCUCUGCCCUCUCUCUCUCUCUCUCUCUCUGUCUCUACCCUCUCUCUCUGUCUCUACCCUCUCUCUCUAA
Molecule: long non-coding RNA, 1482 nt
Filed under: Oncorhynchus mykiss (rainbow trout)
Lineage: Eukaryota; Metazoa; Chordata; Actinopteri; Salmoniformes; Salmonidae
Description: lncRNA (ENSOMYG00000077874.1)
Source: RNAcentral